RNAcentral lists this long non-coding RNA (578 nucleotides) under Gallus gallus (chicken). RNAcentral describes it as "long non-coding RNA NONGGAT002143". The record is from RNAcentral. Lineage: Eukaryota; Metazoa; Chordata; Aves; Galliformes; Phasianidae.
UUCUGUUUCAGGAAGUGCUCACAGAGCUGCCAGGGUGCUCCUACAGACCCCACAGCCUGUACAGAACAGCAGAGCUGAGCAGGUGCCAGUGUUGUGAACAAGCACCAGAGCUGAACAAGGAGCUGAAACCUGGCACCAGUGUGAUGUGACACGUCUACCACGAUUUCCUCCUUGGUUGAAGUGCUUCAUCGUACCUCUGCUGCACCAGUAAGAGCUGUGUGCUCCAACUGCUGGCCUCCAGCUGAGAGCGCCGUGCUUCCCUUCCCAAUGGAAAAGCAACAGAAGUGGCCAUUAAUACCGCCCAGUGAAGCAGAGCACAGCAUAGCAGGGUUUAAUGACACGCUUUGCUCCAGCGGAGGCAAUCCAUGAGGACAGAGCUACACAGACCUGUGCCCAGCACUGGCAUUUUGGCAUCACCGUAUGUCCUGCUCGCUUGAGUGGCAAUGCACAUGGAGCUCAAGUUACUUAUGCUUUGGAUUGCUGCCCUUUCGGUGAUAUAAAUGGAGUUGACUAUGCAGUACGGCAAUUUUUUCCUCUCAUAUAUAAUAUGACGCAUCUUUGCAAUAAUUACAGGUAAA